RNAcentral lists this small RNA (6518 nucleotides) under Rattus norvegicus (Norway rat). RNAcentral's name for it is "uncharacterized LOC102551730". Lineage: Eukaryota; Metazoa; Chordata; Mammalia; Rodentia; Muridae. The record is from RNAcentral.
ACACCACCAGCAGUAGCAGCACCAGCAGCAGCACCACCACCACCAACACCACCAACAGCAGGAGCCUACCAAAAUCAAGAAGCCAGCUAUGCUAAAAAGAGAAUGCACAGGCUUUCCUAAAUGCAUGCCAGGUAAAAAGUGAUCUCAUUUGGAAGAGAAGAGUUCUCACAGACUAGCCCAGGUUAGUCUUUCAAUCCUCUGUCCUAGUCUCUUAUAUUUAUUUAUUGAAGUAGGGUCUGUCUACACAGCCUUGGCUGUACUGGAAAUCAUUAUAUAGACAGAUCAGGCUGCCCUUGAAUUUAAGACAUCUGCCUGCCUCUGCCUCCCAAGUGCUGGGAUUAAAGACCUGUGUCACGUGACCCCGCUUGCCUCUGAACACUUUUAAUCAGGUGUCAAACAUAUCUGUUUUGUAAGUAAACUGGACUCAAAAGUUUAAGAGUUUAUUUUACGUUAAACUGUAAUAGUUGAAGAUACACAGGAUUUUGUCAUGUAUGCAUGUUGAUGACAUAAUUUAGAUGGUGAUUUGAGGCUCGCCAUGACUACAACAUUCAAAACUAACCAUAUCUUGUUUCUAAAUUUAAAAAGAAUUGAUUUUAAAAUCAAUGUGCUAAACCUCGAACUCUAACCAUCUAAAGCACAAUGUCAGCCAGGAGUAGUGGUGCGUGCUUGUAAUUCUAGCUCUCCGGAGGCUGGGGCAGGCUACACGGUGAGUUUAGUGUCAGCCUGGGGAACGCCGGUCUUCAACAAAGAAAAAAGGUAUCGGUUGGGAACAAGCUCCACAAGUGCAAUUUGAUUGGCUGUGGCUUUUCCGUAAUGGUCUCCAGCUGCUGCAAUGAGACGUUUCCUUGUUGAGGACGAGGAUUACACUUAUCAAAAUAUUUAAAAGAAGGAGAGGAGGAAGAAGAGGAAGAGGAGGAGAAGAAAGUCCCAGGCUGUCAUCCGUGGUAAGGUGGCCUCUCCAGGUAGUGAUCAGCUCUCAGGUUGAGGGCAGAGAAUGCCCGGAGUUUCUUCCAGACGUGCCCAUACAUGCAAGCCAUCAAGUGGACAGAGAGACACCUGGGUCCAUGCUAGAAUCCCAGCACGACAUGAACACACAUUGUCUACGGUGAGGGAGCAGACAGUGGAGACCUCCAAACACACUUUUCUUCCAUUUACGUCGGGGGUUGUUUGCCUGUUUCUUUUUGUUAUUGUUUUUGAGACAGGGCUUCUCUGUAACAGCCAUGGCUGUCCUUGAACUUGAAGUGGUGGGUGCUGGGAUUGAAGACACCCACCACUAUGCCCAGCCAUUUAAAGACAUUAUAUGCUAUCACUCACAGUUGGCUGAAAGAUAAGUUGUUGGUUUUUCAAGACAGCGUUUCUCUGUGUAGCCUUGGCUGGGCUGGAACUCAGAGCUCCACCUGUCUCUGCCUCCCACGUGCCAGGAUUAAGGCAUGUGUCGCCCCUGCUCAGCUUCAAAGAUAAUUUUUUAAAAAUCACAACCUAACACAAAAACUAGUGCUUUCUCUUUUCCCAUGUUGAUUAUUUCCCAAAACAACAAGAAGCAAACACCUCGGUGUGGCUGUGCUCUGUAAUUAAUUUCUGCUGCAGCCGCCAGCCCAUCUACAAAGAGGUGAAUUGUCUUAGGUGGCCACGCUUGAAAGAACGGAGCCAUGAUGGCGCUCAGCAAGGAGGCAACAUAUUUAUCAUUCACAAUCGUCGCCCUCCCCCAGGAAAUGUGUAUGGCAUUUUUGAGGCACAAAGAGCAGAGCCCUGCUUAGUGGUCCCUGGGCACACCUGCGAGCCUACCUUCAUACAAUACCAACAAGCCAGACAAUUCACCAUCCUCAAGAACAUAUUCUUCAAACCUAUUGUCUGGGUAAGUCAAACACAAACACGACACUAUCAACACAUAAUUAUCCGACAGGCCAACCAGAUGCUCAUUAUGGGAAGAGGAAGCUAACUCAUAGCAUCUGGGUUCUGGAAAUAGUUAAGCCAGGCUCUCUUCUGCCAGAGAAACAGAGCCAACCUAGCUAGGAGAGUCCUCCCUCCCCUUGUGUUGGAGUCCUUUUGGGUUUGGAGACCACGAAAAGGGUUAAAAAUCCUUGAGACUACCAAAACAGAUUAGCAGGACAUCUGGGUGCUUCGGCUGUCACCGGAGGGGCAGCCCUCGGAGGGAAUGCGGGUCCCCACUCAGGUUAUCAGAUGGACAGCUGAUCAACAUGAAACAGACUUGCUCUGGGCAGGCUGCGCUGAGCUUCCUGACAGGAAUCCCAAUGAGAGCCCUCUGCACUCUGCCGUUGAGCGCUGCCAUUUUUCACUGCUGCAGCUCCCUGGACAUAUGGGAAUCCCUAGUGAGGAGUACAUAAAGCCGCUCGAACUCAAGUGACGGCUCAUUUCCCCUGGCUGAAGGCAGACAUUAAUAUCCUGAGGAGAGCACACCCGCCUCUCUGACCCUCACCUACCCAAGCAAAACCACUGUCCUAUUUCUUCAUGUAAUAAGCUUUUAAUGAAGAAAACCAAAAUCUCGUCCCUCACUGCAAUGCAGUUCUACAUGAAAAGGUUAUACAAAUACAUCAGAUCUCCUGUCAAAGUUUCCCACAGUCACUGUCCCCGGCCCCACAGGAGUGCGCGGCCUGUCACUCCCCCUCCCGUAGAGCUCGAUCUUUCUGCUGAGGCCCUGGAGUUCUCUGCUCUGAUAAUUACGAUUUUCUUCCGGCAUGGCAGGUAGAGGAUUAAAGAAGUGAUUACGAAGAGCUCGCUGCUACCCCCAUUUUCAUUACAAAUCCCCCUUGUCCAGGGCUCAUCAUUUAGACAUGAAUCUGCUUCAGGCACAAUCAAGACCGGGAGGAAUGACAGUUCAGUGGCAUAACCCACCAGGAAAGGACCCAAGUUACACCGGAAUAUGAGAAAGCCACAAGCACAGGAUGAAUCGGACGGAGCUGGUCUCACACACGCUAGUCUCAAAGGGUUAAUGGGGAAUCUGCGAAAGCAAAGGAAGACAGGCAGACUUUUACCUGUGACUAUGGAGACUGACCACAAUAAGGGGGAUUUGAACGGUAAUGGGCCCAGUGGCCAGCGCCAGGGCUCAGUGAGUUCUGAAUGGCCUCAGGAGAGGUGGGGGUUUAGUUUUUCCCUCAUGAGGGCAAGCGGGGGUUAGGAAGGCUGCAGGUGAAAUGGUCUGCAGUGAGCAACACAGCAGGGAGGAGCUGAUGUGCAGAGACCUCUGUGAGAGAAGAGAACCUCGCAGGUUCCUUUAGAGCACAAACUCUGUCUUGGCCGGGAGAGGUGAAGGUAAAAUGGGAUAAGGGCUGAAGACCUGUGAAGAAUGUCAGGACACAGGCUGUUCAGUUCUGUGCUUUAAGUCACGUUAUUUACUGUUUUCCAAUCUGUCUAGAUAUCCAGAAACACAGCAGUACAUCCUACGUGUCCCAGGGUGUCUAAACCAGCCACGCAGUAGACGCAACAGGCAAGAGGCCAAUGCAGAAUCAAACGCCUGGUGGUGUCACAGCCGCAGCCUCACCUCUCAGUGCUUGACAGCUGCUGUUCGCAAAGCACCACCGAGAGCCCAGGGACAACUGUAGUGCCGAGAUCUGGGAAGGAGACCAACAGAACACCAGGCCAGCCGCCCAGGCACAGUCUCCACACAGAACACCAGGCCAGCCCCUGAGGCACAGUAUCCUCACAGAACACCAGGCCAGCCAGUCAGGCACAGUCUCCACACAGAACACCAGGCCAGCUGCCCAGACACAGUCUCCACACAGAACACCAGGCCAGUCACCCAGACACAGUCUCCACACAGAACACCAGGCCAGUCACCCAGGCACAGUCUCCUCACAGAACACCAGGUCAGCCGCCCAGGCACAGUCUCCACACAGAACACCAGGCCAGACACCGAGGCACAGUCUCCACACAGAACACCAGGCCAGCCCCUGAGGCACAGUAUCCUCACAGAACACCAGGCCAGCCGCCCAGGCACAGUCUCCACACAGAACACCAGGCCAGACACCCAGGCACAGUCUCCACACAGAACACCAGGCCAGCCACCCAGACACAGUCCACACAGAACACCAGGCCAGUCACCCAGACACAGUCCACACAGAACACCAGGCCAGACACCGAGGCACAGUCUCCACACAGAACACCAGGCCAGCCGCCCAGACACAGUCCACACAGAACACCAGGCCAGACACCGAGGCACAGUCUCCACACAGAACACCAGGCCAGCCCCUGAGGCACAGUCUCCUCACAGAACACCAGGCAAGCCGCCCAGGCACAGUCUCCUUACAGAACACCAGGCCAGACACCGAGGUACAGUCUCCAUCACAUUCAAAGUGAAGAAGGACAGUAGUUCAACACCCAGGACACAGGGGACAGUUGUCAUCUAACACCCAGACAGACAUCUCAUUCUCUUUAUCUGCCAGGUUUUCAGAACACUAAAAAGUAGGAAAAAGGCAAACAAACAAAAACUAGUUUAUGUCCUGAUUUUAGAGACUAUACGCAGACACAGACAUGCACACACACCAAGAACACUUGUGAGCAGCAACAUGGAUUGGUCACUGGAAAGUCAUUUACUCAUCAGUAUUCCAACAGUUUUAAUUCCACUUCCCACCAAGAAGAAAAAUGUCAGGGAAUAUUUAGAGGCACUAUUACCAGUACAGUAUCAGUCCAGGAAAGGACAUAACCAGAAUAGUAAAUAUAAAAAUACAAUGGCAUUUAUGAAUACCUUCUAAAAUAUUCAGAUCCUAUAGAAUAUUCUUGCUAUCUAUCAUAUAUGAAAUUUCAGACAACGGAACUGGUCAGAAAAACUGUGACUAUAUUCAGAGAUACCUGCUUUCCUUAAAAAAUGAAAAAUAAUUGCUUUAAUGAGGUAUAACAUAUAUUAUAAAAAAUUCACAUCUAAAGCUUAUUCUUCAGUGAGUUUUAAGCAAUCGGUUUGGGUUAUAACUCAGUGGAGAGCACUUGCUUAGCACGUAUGAACCCUGGAUUUGAUCCCCAGCCCCUGCAAAGGCGGCGGUGGUUAAAAGCAUCUGCACACAUGGGCAAAUGCGGCUGCGCUCUAAGGUCAGAGCGUCUCCACGCCUCGAACCGUAUGAGUCAACCCUCGUUUAGGCUGUUCUACUUGACUGUAAUUUUGUUUGUAAGUAUUUGGAGUUGUUACUGAAAUGAAUUAUAAAAACAAUAAAGUAAAAUAGAAAUGUCAAAAUUGUUACUGAAAAAUAUUAUGGCAAACAGGAAAACACAUUAAACCCCUCCCCGCCCCCCAUUUCUCUCUUUCUCCCAAAGCCAAACAUAAAUAAAAGACCUAUCUGGUGCUUAAGCGUAAACUUAAAAAUGUAAAGCUACGUGUAAGUUAUUUUUAAAACUGGAUGCAGGGAUUGUGUUUCUGUACUGUGUCUGUGUCCAACUUUCAAAUGAAUCACUUAGUAAACAUUCCGUUUGUUUAUUUGCCAAGAAUAACAUUGUUUCUCAGGAAUCACAAUGCGCUGCCAAUCCCUACGUGCGGGCUCUUCUUAACUGCAUUCUUUGCACAGCGCUUCUAUCAGUCACUUCCUAUUGCUAUGACGAAACACCACAACGAGGUGACUGACAGACGGAAGGGUUUGUUUGGGGCCUGCAGUUCCAGAGGGCGGGCUCCAUAAUGACUGGGGCAGCGGGCAGCAGGUAUGGUGACGGUGCCGAGCUGAAGGCUUGUAUCGGGAACCACAGACAGGAAGCAGAGAGGGUGGCGUAGGGAUGACAGGAAGCAAUGAAACCCGAAGCCUGUCCUCUAGUGACACACUCCCUCCAGAGGGCCUCCUCAUCCUCCCAAAGUCUCACUCCGCCUGAGAACGAGCGUGCAAGUGCGGAGCCUGUGGGAAACACCGCUCAAAGCACUGUGAUGACUGACUGACUGGCUGGCUGGUCAGUUGGUUGAUGAAUUGAUUGGUUGAUGAAUUGAUUGGUUGAUGAAUUGAUUGGUUGACCUACUAUUGAUGCCCGAUUGAUUGGCUGACCUACUGAUUGAUGACUGAUUGAUUGAUUGACCUACUGAUUGAUGCCUGAUUGGCUCAUUUUUCAGGUCUGGAGAUGGAACCCACUAGAGCUAACUCUCCAGGCCUGCAGUUUUGUUUGGAUCCAACGUUGAGGUUAAGCAGCAAAUAUGAGUUUUAAUCACAAUUUCAUGCUAAAAAGGUUCUCUUCGUUCAUUAAUUAAAACUUGUGUGCGCACACACACACCAGCAUAUAAACAUAUGGCAUGGCAUAUGUGUGGGGUCAGUGGACGACUGUGGGGAACCAGGAACCGAACCAGGUUACUGAGGAAGUACGUGAGCGAGGCUGCAGUACCACAGCUGGCACACAGUGGCUUCCACAGGGAAAGGCGGAGCUCUUGCUGCAUGUUCAUAACAUGUCAAAGACAGUUGUGGUCUGGAAGACAUAUGUGAUGGUCAAGAGACAGCGUCUAGACAGCAGAGGAGUUUGAGGGGACAUCAGGAACCUAACGGGUCCCAGAGGAGGCGGAGUACAGCUCCUCCAAAGAGAGAGAAUGUAUUAUACUCCAU